UACAGAGGUCGCAAGCGUUGCUCGGAUUCAUUGGGCGUAAAGGGUGCGUAGGCGGCGCGGUAAGUCGGGUGUGAAAUCUCGGAGCUUAACUCCGAAACUGCAUUCGAUACUGCCGUGCUCGAGGACUGGAGAGGAGACUGGAAUUUACGGUGUAGCGGUGAAAUGCGUAGAUAUCGUAAGGAAGACCAGUGGCGAAGGCGGGUCUCUGGACAGUUCCUGACGCUGAGGCACGAAGGUCAGGGGAGCAAACGGG
Molecule: ribosomal RNA, 253 nt
Filed under: uncultured bacterium
Lineage: Bacteria
Description: partial 16S ribosomal RNA
Rfam family: Bacterial small subunit ribosomal RNA
Source: RNAcentral